RNAcentral lists this ribosomal RNA (584 nucleotides) under uncultured bacterium. Its description in RNAcentral is "partial 16S ribosomal RNA". It matches the Rfam family "Bacterial small subunit ribosomal RNA", at positions 355 to 1375 of the family's 1533-position model. The record is from RNAcentral.
UGGGGAAUUUUGGACAAUGGGCGAAAGCCUGAUCCAGCAAUGCCGCGUGUGUGAAGAAGGCCUUCGGGUUGUAAAGCACUUUUGUCCGGAAAGAAAUCCUUGGCUCUAAUACAGUCGGGGGAUGACGGUACCGGAAGAAUAAGCACCGGCUAACUACGUGCCAGCAGCCGCGGUAAUACGUAGGGUGCAAGCGUUAAUCGGAAUUACUGGGCGUAAAGCGUGCGCAGGCGGUUUGCUAAGACCGAUGUGAAAUCCCCGGGCUCAACCUGGGAACUGCAUUGGUGACUGGCAGGCUAGAGUAUGGCAGAGGGGGGUAGAAUUCCACGUGUAGCAGUGAAAUGCGUAGAGAUGUGGAGGAAUACCGAUGGCGAAGGCAGCCCCCUGGGCCAAUACUGACGCUCAUGCACGAAAGCGUGGGGAGCAAACAGGAUUAGAUACCCUGGUAGUCCACGCCCUAAAACGAUGUCAACUAGUUGUUGGGAUUCAUUUCCUAGUAACGUAGCUAACGCGUGAAGUUGACCGCCUGGGGAGUACGGUCGCAAGAUUAAAACUCAAAUGAAUUGACGGGGUCAUAGCUGUUUCCU